UACGGGGGGGGCAAGCGUUGUUCGGAAUUACUGGGCGUAAAGGGCUCGUAGGCGGCCAACUAAGUCAGACGUGAAAUCCCUCGGCUUAACCGGGGAACUGCGUCUGAUACUGGAUGGCUUGAGUUUGGGAGAGGGAUGCGGAAUUCCAGGUGUAGCGGUGAAAUGCGUAGAUAUCCGGAGGAACACCGGUGGCGAAGGCGGCAUCCUGGACCAAUACUGACGCUGAGGAGCGAAAGCCAGGGGAGCAAACGGG
Molecule: ribosomal RNA, 253 nt
Filed under: uncultured bacterium
Lineage: Bacteria
Description: partial 16S ribosomal RNA
Rfam family: Bacterial small subunit ribosomal RNA
Source: RNAcentral